AUACGGAGGGUGCAAGCGUUACUCGGAAUCACUGGGCGUAAAGCGCGCGCAGGCGGUCUUUUAAGUUGGAUGUGAAAGCCUACGGCUCAACCGUAGAACUGCAUCCAAAACUAUUAGACUAGAGUGUGGGAGAGGAAGAUGGAAUUAGUUGUGUAGGGGUAAAAUCCGUAGAGAUAACUAGGAAUACCAAAAGCGAAGGCAAUCUUCUGGAACACUACUGACGCUGAGGCGCGAAAGCGUGGGGAGCAAACAGGAUUAGAAAACCUAGUAGUCCC
Molecule: ribosomal RNA, 275 nt
Filed under: uncultured bacterium
Lineage: Bacteria
Description: partial 16S ribosomal RNA
Rfam family: Bacterial small subunit ribosomal RNA
Source: RNAcentral